This 494-nucleotide ribosomal RNA is filed under the name uncultured bacterium. Its description in RNAcentral is "partial 16S ribosomal RNA". It matches the Rfam family "Bacterial small subunit ribosomal RNA", at positions 30 to 523 of the family's 1533-position model. The record is from RNAcentral.
AUUGAACGCUGGCGGCAUGCUUUACACAUGCAAGUCGAACGGUAGGGUAGCAAUACCUGAGAGUGGCGAACGGGUGAGUAGUGUAUCUGAACGUGCCCAAGAGUGGGGGAUAGCCCGGCGAAAGCCGGAUUAAUACCGCAUACGAUCUAUGGAUGAAAACGGGGGACCGCAAGGCCUCGUGCUCCUGGAGCGGCCGAUAUCAGAUUAGGUAGUUGGUAGGGGAAAGGCUCACCAAGCCAACGAUCUGUAGCUGGUUUGAGAGCACGACCAGCCACACUGAGACUGAGACACGGCCCAGACUCCUACGGGAGGAAGCAGUGGGGAAUUUGGGACAAUGGGCGCAAGCCUGAUCCAGCAAUGCCGCGUGCAGGAUGAAGGCCUUCGGGUUGUAAACUGCUUUUGUACGGAGCGAAAAGGCUUCUUCUCAUACAGGAGGCUCAUGACGGUACCGUAAGAAUAAGCACCGGCUAACUACGUGCCAGCCGCCGCGGUAA